GACUACGGGCUGGAGAUGGGUAGUAGUGGGUUUUUCCGACUGAAGGAGAUUCUUGAUUGGUCUGGACAGACUGCUGGCACUCCUGGGUGCAAGGCUCUGACCUCAGCUUCUCCAGAGAAGGAAGAGAUGGCAAAGGGGAAGGCCUGGGGUUCCAGGAAGGACUUUGCAACCCCACUGCGGAGUCAGAUCCUCCAGGUCUCCUCCCAGAGCGGCUGCCUGGUAACUUUCCCAGGGUGUCCUUCAGGGAGCAUCUCCUCUUCCAUGUGGCUGGAUUCUUCUGAUAGGAGGCUGCCUUGUAAUUUCGCACUGACAGGACAGUUGGGCCUCAGACAGAGCCUGGGGACUUGGCUGCUUGGAACCAGAACCUGGCCCUUCAGAGGAGCUGCAGAAUUUCAACAGAGGAGAGACUUGGGAGAGGAGGGGGACAGAGCCUGCUUCAAAUGGAAUGGAGUGUGUCCAUCUCUAGCACAUCAUGCUCACUGAAUGUCUGGGGGAGACGGUUGAGGUGGAGCUGAAGGCAGUCGGGGGAGACCUGUGAAGACCUUCUCUGAAGAAGGAGGGUAAAUGCCACAUGAUCUUUGGUGCCUGUUGGUAUCUGGUCCCUUCCCCACUAAUUCUAGUCUUUCUAACUCCUACCCAGGUGUUAGGUGAUCAUGUAUGAAGCAGUGACUUCUUGGGAUUAUGUAUCUUUUACUUUGGAUGUCUAAUCAGAAUAAAGCACUCAUCUUAAAGCCAAGAAGUGAUAAUGAUGGAUGGUGACAUGAUGGAGGCUGCAACCCUUCCACCUGUUUGUAAAACACUAAAAAAAAAGUGACCUCAGGUAAGUAAGUAUCCUCCAGUAAGAAAGUAAUUAUUUCCUACCAACCACAUGAUAAAUGUACAGGUGAGUAAAACUUGGACGGUUGA
Molecule: long non-coding RNA, 906 nt
Filed under: Callithrix jacchus (white-tufted-ear marmoset)
Lineage: Eukaryota; Metazoa; Chordata; Mammalia; Primates; Cebidae
Description: lncRNA (ENSCJAG00000065465.2)
Source: RNAcentral